UCAAGUUAUUAAGGGUGCAGGGCGGAUGCCUUGGCACUAGGAGCCGAUGAAGGACGUGAUAAGCUGCGAUAAGCUUCGGGGAGUUGCACGUAAACUUUGAUCCGAAGAUUUCCGAAUGAGGAAACUCACUUAGAGUAAUGUCUAAGUAUCAUUAAGUGAAUACAUAGCUUAAUGAGGGGAACUCAGGGAACUGAAACAUCUAAGUACCUGAAGGAAGAGAAAGAAAUUCGAUUCCGUAAGUAGCGGCGAGCGAACGCGGAUUAGCCCAAACCAAUAAAGUUUUCUUUAUUGGGGUUGCGGACAUAUCAUAACGAAGAGGUAUCGUAAUUGAAGAGGUUUGGAAAGACCCACCACAGAAGGUAAUAGUCCUGUAUGUUAAACGAGAAGACUUUAGAUAUGAUCCAGAGUACCACGGGACACGUGAAACCCUGUGGGAAGCAGGAGGGACCACCCUCCAAGGCUAAAUACUACCUAGUGACCGAUAGCGUAUAGUACCGUGAGGGAAAGGUGAAAAGAACCCCGGGAGGGGAGUGAAAUAGAACCUGAAACCCUGCACUUACAAGCUGUGGAAGCACAUUUCUUGUGUGACCGCGUACUUUUUGUAGAACGGGCCAACGAGUUACGUUAAGUAGCAAGGUUAAGCACUUAAGGUGCGGAGCCGUAGCGAAAGCGAGUUUUAACUGAGCGUUCAGUUACUUGACGUAGACCCGAAACCGGGCGACCUACCCAUGAGCAGGAUGAAGCGAAAGUAAAAUUUCGUGGAGGUCCGAACCCACGAGCGUUGAAAAGCUCGGGGAUGACUUGUGGGUAGCGGUGAAAUUCCAAUCGAGCCCGGAGAUAGCUGGUUCUCCCCGAAAUAGCUUUAGGGCUAGCCUCAAGGUGAGAGAUACGGAGGUAGAGCACUGAAUGUCCUAGGGGGUAUUGCACCUACCGAAGACUAUCAAACUCCGAAUGCCGUCAUCUUAUACUUGGGAGUCAGACUGUGGGUGAUAAGAUUCAUAGUCGAAAGGGCAACAGCCCAGAUCGUCAGCUAAGGUCCCUAAAUGUAAGUUAAGUGGUAAAGGAUGUGGGAUUGCACAGACAACCAGGAUGUUGGCUUAGAAGCAGCCACUCAUUCAAAAGAGUGCGUAAUAGCUCACUGGUCGAGUGAUCCUGCGCCGAAGAUUUCGGGGGCUAAAACUUACUUACCGAAGCUACGGCAUCAGUAAUGAUGGGUAGGGGAGCUUCCAAUACGGGUGAAAGCAUGACCGUAAGGACAUGUGGACAGUAUGGGAGUGAGAAUGUUGGCAUGAGUAGCGAGAUGUGGGUGAGAAUCCCACAGGCCGUAAACCCAAGGUUUCCAGGGGAAGGUUCGUCCGCCCUGGGUUAGUCGGGACCUAAGCUGAGGCCGAAAGGCGUAGGUGAUGGACAACAGGUUGAUAUUCCUGUACUACCGAUAACCGUUUGAGAGAAGGGAUGACACAGUAGGAUAAGCUAAGCACACUGUUGGUUAUGUGUGCCCAAGCAUUGAGGCAGUCAAAGUAGGCAAAUCCGCUUUGAUAAUGCUGGGAUGUGAUGGGGAGCGAAAUUUAGUAGCGAAGUAGCUGAUUUCACACUGUCAAGAAAAGUCUCUAUCGAGGUUAAAGGUACCCGUACCGCAAACCGACACAGGUGGGUGAGGAGAGUAUCCUAAGGCCAGCGAGAGAACUGUUGUUAAGGAACUCGGCAAAAUGACCCCGUAACUUAGGGAUAAGGGGUGCCACCAUCAGGUGGCCGCAGAGAAUAGGCCCAAGCGACUGUUUACCAAAAACAUAGGUUUCUGCUAAGUCGCAAGACGAUGUAUAGGAGCUGACGCCUGCCCGGUGCUGGAAGGUUAAGGGGAUCUGUUAGAGCAAUCGAAGCAGUGAACUUAAGCCCCAGUAAACGGCGGCCGUAACUAUAACGGUCCUAAGGUAGCGAAAUUCCUUGUCGGGUAAGUUCCGACCCGCACGAAAGGCGUAACGAUUUGGGCACUGUCUCAACAACAGACUCGGUGAAAUUGUAAUUCCGGUGAAGAUGCCGGAUACCUGCGACAGGACGGAAAGACCCCAUGGAGCUUUACUGUAGCUUGACAUUGGGUCUUGGUACUACAUGUACAGGAUAGGUGGGAGGCUUUGAAACCAGGACGCCAGUUUUGGCGGAGCCAUCCUUGGGAUACCACCCUUGUAGUACUGGGACUCUAACCAUAGGCCAUGAAUCUGGUCUUGGGACACUGUCAGGUGGGCAGUUUGACUGGGGCGGUCGCCUCCCAAAAGGUAACGGAGGCGCUCAAAGGUUCUCUCAGUACGGUCGGAUAUCGUACGUAGAGUGUAAAGGCAAAAGAGAGCUUGAUUGCAAGACAUACAGGUCGAGCAAGGAUGAAAAUCGGACUUAGUGAUCCGGUGGUUCUGCGUGGAAGGGCCAUCGCUCAACGGAUAAAAGCUACCCUGGGGAUAACAGGCUUAUCUCCCCCAAGAGUCCACAUCGACGGGGAGGUUUGGCACCUCGAUGUCGGCUCAUCACAUCCUGGGGCUGUAGUAGGUCCCAAGGGUUGGGCUGUUCGCCCAUUAAAGUGGUACGCGAGCUGGGUUCAGAACGUCGUGAGACAGUUCGGUCCCUAUCCGUCGCAGGCGUAGGAAAUUUGAGAAGACCUGUCCUUAGUACGAGAGGACCGGGAUGGACGUACCUCUGGUGUACCAGUUGUUCUGCCAAGGGCAUGGCUGGGUAGCUAUGUACGGAAUGGAUAAGCGCUGAAAGCAUCUAAGCGCGAAGCCAACUUCAAGAUAAGAUUUCCCACCGCAAGGGUAAGACCCCAGAAAGACUAUCUGGUUGAUAGGUCGAAGGUGUAAGUGCAGCAAUGUAUUUAGCUUAUCGAUACUAAUAGGUCGAGGACUUGACCAA
Molecule: ribosomal RNA, 2898 nt
Filed under: Clostridioides difficile M120
Lineage: Bacteria; Bacillati; Bacillota; Clostridia; Peptostreptococcales; Peptostreptococcaceae
Description: bacterial LSU rRNA
Rfam family: Bacterial large subunit ribosomal RNA
Source: RNAcentral